This 656-nucleotide small RNA is filed under the name Pan troglodytes (chimpanzee). RNAcentral describes it as "retained intron". Lineage: Eukaryota; Metazoa; Chordata; Mammalia; Primates; Hominidae. The record is from RNAcentral.
UGUACAACUAUUAUGUAUCCAUAACAAUUUAAAUUUUUUUAUUUGUUUCCCUGCCUAGAGGCUAUAAAAACUCUAUUUCACCACCCCAAGUGUCUUUAUAAAUCUCAACCACAUAUUUUUAAAUGUUGUGCCAUUGGUCUCAAGGAUGAAUCAGAUACAAAAGUAUUCAUGCCAAGAUGUAAACUCACCAUCAUCACUAGAGAAAAGAUAUCCAAGGAUAUGUCCUAGUAAUAGGAGGUCAUUAGCCUUUUUCUAAGCUGAAGACAGUUUAUUCUCACAAUCUUCAAGCCAACCUGUGUUAUCACCUAGGGUCUUACCCAUAAUACUCAGUAUUUUUUCUCUAUUUAGGGACCUCCUGGCACUCCAGGUCCUCAGGGUCUUCUUGGUGCCCCUGGUAUUCUGGGUCUCCCUGGCUCGAGAGGUGAACGUGGUCUACCAGGUGUUGCUGGUGCUGUGGGUGAACCUGGUCCUCUUGGCAUUGCCGGCCCUCCUGGGGCCCGUGGUCCUCCUGGUGCUGUGGGUAGUCCUGGAGUCAACGGUGCUCCUGGUGAAGCUGGUCGUGAUGGCAACCCUGGGAACGAUGGUCCCCCGGGUCGCGAUGGUCAACCCGGACACAAGGGAGAGCGCGGUUACCCUGGCAAUAUUGGUCCCGUUGG